This 318-nucleotide ribosomal RNA is filed under the name uncultured bacterium. RNAcentral's name for it is "bacterial SSU rRNA". It matches the Rfam family "Bacterial small subunit ribosomal RNA", at positions 158 to 507 of the family's 1533-position model. The record is from RNAcentral.
UGGGAGUAAUACCGUAUAAGCCCGUACGGGGGAAAGAUUUAUCGGGAAGGGAUCGGCCCGCGUUGGAUUAGGUAGUUGGUGGGUAAUGGCCUACCAAGCCGACGAUCCAUAGCUGGUUUGAGAGGAUGAUCAGCCACACUGGGACUGAGACACGGCCCAGACUCCUACGGGAGGCAGCAGGUGGGGAAUCUUAGACAAGUGGGCGCAAGCCUGAUCUAGCCAUGCCGCGUGAGCGAUGAAGGCCGUUAGGGUUAGUAAAGCUCUUCAGGGGGGAAGAUAAUGACUGUACCCCCAGAAGAAGCCCCGGCUAACUCCGUG